GCCAGGUCGUACUGAGGUAGAGCAGCUACAUAAGAUAUACAAGUUAUGUGGUUCACCUUCAGAUGAGUACUGGAAAAAGUCAAAAUUGCCUAAUGCAACUUUAUUUAGACCUCGGGAGCCUUACAAAAGAUGCAUAAGAGAAACAUUUAAAGAUUUUCCACCGUCAUCACUUCCUCUCAUAGAUACUCUUCUUGCAAUUGAUCCAGCUGAACGUCAGACAGCCACAGCUGCCCUUAGAAGUGAAUUCUUCACAACAGAGCCUUAUCCAUGUGAACCUUCUAGUCUCCCAAAAUACCCCCCAAGUAAGGAGAUGGAUGCUAAACGACGAGAUGAUGAAGCUCGAAGAUUAAGAGCUGCUGCCAAAGCCCAGGGUGAUAACGCGAAGAAAGUGCGGACACGUGAACUGGCUGCUAGGGGAAUGCCUGCCCCAGAAGCCAAUGCAGAACUUCAAUCUAACAUUGAUGUAUGUCUGUCAACCAUUGUUUUGUUUUUUGCAUGGUUAAAUAUGGCCAUGGUCUAGGUUGGGCUCGGAACUGCCAGUUCAGACCCAGAACUGGCCUAUGGCCCUCUCUGUGUGGGUUCUCUCACUUACAAAUUCUUGGAUGAUCAUGCCCUGUGAUUUUAGUUUUCUUGUGCAAGAAAUAACCACAUAAAUCAAGUUAGCAUCAAGUAGGUAAAAUAUUGUUUGCACCCUUGGCCUCUUCUCAUUUUGCCAUUUAAUUUGAUUAUUUGUCAAAACAAUCCUUUGACUGGUGCCAGUUAGGAAUUCUAAUUUUUGUUCAUUCUGGAAUAGAAGGUUUAUUUUUUCCCCACUUUUGAAUGAGCUUUAGUUUAUGGGUUUGCUAUUUCAAUAUAUAUGCUGAGGCAGCUUAUACUCCCUUUGUUCAGUUUAAGUUAAUUAUUGCCUAAUAUGUAGUGGUUGAGAAUCUGCAUUGUUGUAAUUAACAUGUCCACUCUGAGAGAUUUUAUUGGUUUGGUGACUCAAUUCCAGUUUGCUUACAUUUUCUUGAUUGUUUACAAUGUUGUUAUCUUCAUAAAACAGAAACGACGGCUGAUUACUUAUGCAAAUGCAAAGAGCAAAAGUGAAAAGUUUCCUCCACCUCACCAGGAUGGGGCACUUGGCUAUCCUUUAGGAUCAUCUCAGCAUAUUGAUCCUGCAUUGGUCCCUGCUGAUGUAUCUUAUAGCUCUAGUUCAUUCACCUAUUCAAAAGAGCCAGUGCAAACUUGGUCAGGUCCGUUGGUUGACCCAGCUGGGCUUGGUGCUCCAAGGCGAAAGAAGAAUGUCACAGUUGAUACGCGGGAAUCAUCAAAAACAUCAGCAGGGACCCAUAAAGAUAAAACUGGCGAUAUUCGGUUUAAGGGAAAGAAAAGCAUGGCUUAAACUUUUAGGACAUACAUGCAAUGGGAAACCAGAUUUGUGAAACUGGCGAUUGCCUAUACAGCAGAAGACACACUGCUAUUUAAUGCAAGUGCCUGGCUUCUUCACACAUGAAAGAUACAUAAUUGUUUUGGUUAAAAUUGUAUUUGGGGUGAAGUCAAAUUUUCUAUACUUUUUGUUUUACAUUUUCAUGAUAGAAAAUUUUCUUUUGUUUCGGUUGGGAUGAUGAGAAAAUUUCAUUGAUGUGUAUAUUUUGGUUAUUCUUUUCCUCUUAAAGCUCCUUGUUUUGAAAACUAAGAACUGUCUAAAUUAGUGGAAAGAAAUCAAUAUUUUCAGGAGAUCCA
This 1722-nucleotide unclassified non-coding RNA is filed under the name Hevea brasiliensis (rubber tree). Lineage: Eukaryota; Viridiplantae; Streptophyta; Magnoliopsida; Malpighiales; Euphorbiaceae. The record is from RNAcentral.